This 301-nucleotide ribosomal RNA is filed under the name uncultured bacterium. Its description in RNAcentral is "partial 16S ribosomal RNA". It matches the Rfam family "Bacterial small subunit ribosomal RNA", at positions 509 to 807 of the family's 1533-position model. The record is from RNAcentral.
CAGCCGCCGCGGGAAUACGGAGGGAGCUAGCGUUGUUCGGAAUUACUGGGCGUAAAGCGCGCGUAGGCGGUUACUCAAGUCAGAGGUGAAAGCCCGGGGCUCAACCCCGGGACUGCCUUUGAAACUAGGUGACUAGAAUCUUGGAGAGGUCAGUGGAAUUCCGAGUGUAGAGGUGAAAUUCGUAGAUAUUCGGAAGAACACCAGUGGCGAAGGCGACUGACUGGACAAGUAUUGACGCUGAGGUGCGAAAGCGUGGGGAGCAAACAGGAUUAGAUACCCCCGUAGUCCCUGUCUCUUAUAC